GUAAGGAAUAUUGGACAAUGGACGCAAGUCUGAUCCAGCCAUGCCGCGUGAAGGAUUAAGGUCCUCUGGAUUGUAAACUUCUUUUAUAAGGGACGAAAAAAGGCUUUUCUAAGUCGUCUGACGGUACCUUAUGAAUAAGCACCGGCUAACUCCGUGCCAGCAGCCGCGGUAAUACGGAGGGUGCAAGCGUUAUCCGGAUUCACUGGGUUUAAAGGGUGCGUAGGCGGGCAGGUAAGUCAGUGGUGAAAUCCUAGAGCUUAACUCUAGAACUGCCAUUGAUACUAUCUGUCUUGAGUAUUGUUGAGGUAAGCGGAAUAUGUCAUGUAGCGGUGAAAUGCUUAGAUAUGACAUAGAACACCUAUUGCGAAGGCAGCUUACUACGCAUAUAUUGACGCUGAGGCACGAAAGCGUGGGGAUCAAACAGGAUUAGAAACCCUUGUAGUCC
Molecule: ribosomal RNA, 445 nt
Filed under: uncultured bacterium
Lineage: Bacteria
Description: bacterial SSU rRNA
Rfam family: Bacterial small subunit ribosomal RNA
Source: RNAcentral